This 1288-nucleotide long non-coding RNA is filed under the name Cricetulus griseus (Chinese hamster). RNAcentral describes it as "lncRNA (ENSCGRG00015036379.1)". Lineage: Eukaryota; Metazoa; Chordata; Mammalia; Rodentia; Cricetidae. The record is from RNAcentral.
GGUAUACAUAGCCCACAGGAGACAUCAGCCAUCCAGGGAGGUUACUUUGCAGAUGGGCCAAGCUCUUCCAAAGCCUGAUUUGGAAGCACAGUGCUUCAGUUACUCAGGGUAUAAGAGAAGAUGUGGUCCAUUGUGUCGGGGAAGGCAUGUGGUGGCAGAGGUGUGGUGAAGGCUGAUCACCUUGUGUCCGCUGUCAGAAACCCGGGGGAGGCUUGUCUGGCACAUUAAAUUAGAAGAAAAAAAUGCACACACAAUUUCAGAAAUAUUUUUGCUGCUGGACUCCCAACUGAACAUCUAAUAUUUCAGUGUGCGAAGAGGAAGUAUGGCCUGGGAGAGCUGUGCUAGGAACAGAUGGGGACCAAGAGAUUCUGCAACACUGGUGCAUCGACCCAAAGCUACACAGCUGCUUGAGCUUCUGCUCACACCUCAGCAGGCCCAUGUGAGGAACAGCAGCCAGAGAGACAGCCCCCACACAAAGCGUAAAGAGUGCAGCUUCCCGAGAGAAGAGGGACCAGCAAGAGGGGCCGAGGCUGUCUGCACUGAACUCUGCAUUCCCUUCCCAGUAAGAAGUCAUGCAAAAUCCAAGCUUGCGUCUCACAAUGGAGUGCUCUGUUAUCCAGUAUGGUAGCUGCAAACGUAAUGCAGCUAUUAAAUUUUUUGCCAACAUCAAAUACAUUUCCAAGGACAGCUCCACGGGACAAGACAGAGCAGCUUUGGACUGCUCUGUGGUUGUUGGAGAGGCAGAUUGCAUUGGAGCCAGUUAGAAAAGCAAGUCCAGCUGCAGAACUUGCAUGGGGGCAAGACCUUUGAGUGAGGACCCAGGGCACCUAAAAGUCUGUGUCCCGCUGGCUGCUCAGUUCCCUGAAGUAACUGUGAGAGAGCGUUAACCUCUGAGCUUAUGGGGGACUCUGAACAAUUUCUCUUCACUUCCCUUCACACUGGCACGUGUGUGCAUGUGUGUGUACAUGCGUGCAUGCAUGUGUGUGUUUCCCCAUCCAUCCUUCCACCCAUCUACCCACCCAUGUGCCUACUUAUACCUGUGGAAGCAUCAUUGUGCACUUUGCCAUGAUGAACAUGGAGAGGUCAUAACACAAGCUUGGGUGUUGGGCCUCAGUGUUCACUUUGUUUGAGUUGGGGUCCCUUGCUCACUGGCCCAGGAGCUGACCUCACCAUGGUAGCACUGCAAUUCCAGAUGCCUGUGUUGCAUCAGGAUCACUUGGAUUCUGGGGAUUCAGACUCCGGUUCUCACUGUUGGGAGGCAAGAGCUUUAUCCACUGAGUCAUCUCCC